CACAAUUGAAAAAGACAUUAAUUGCUCAUUCUAACCCAACGGCCACAGUGGUUAUAGUCCUUUAUAGGAGGGAAAGAACCCCAACAACCCUAGAAUACAUAGUGUUCCAUUCAAGAGACGCUCAUCUAAUGUCUAACGUCUAACGUCUAACGUCUAACAUCGUUCACCACUGGGAGCUGUGGAUAUAGUGCCGAGGAAACCUGUGUUUGCUCUUAAUGCCUUCAACCGAUUGGAUGAGGCUCAUCCACAUUAUGGAGGAUGAUCAGCUUUACUCAAAGGCGACUGACGGUAAAGAUUAAUCACAUCUAAAAAAUACCUUCAAAGCAACAUCCAGUCUAGUGUUCGAUCAAACAACCAUGCAUCUUAGCCUAGCCAAGUUGCCACAUAAAUGAACAUGCCUGAGAAGACCAGAUUUUGGGUGGCUUUGUUAGCAUUUCUACUGUCCAAGCUUAGUGAUAUAGAUGCUGAACAAUGUGUCACAGGACUAGUAGGGGGUUUCUGGUCGUACAAAAGCCAAGUUGACUUUUCUGGGCUUCUAAGACAUUUUUUAACUUCUUAAUAACCUGUAGCUAUUUUAAACAAAGUCGAGUGCAUACUACUGUCUGCAACUAAGAACCCCAACCAAAAAAAGUGCUUUCAAGUGCCAUGACCUAAAAGAUACAGAACCUAGAAUUGGUUUUCUGACCUGGAUUGAGUCUGAAACAGUAAGGAUCCAGUUAACCUUAGAGGAUGAGAUACUGGUGGUCCAUGAUGGGCAAGGCCACACACUCACUUAAAUUAUACGCCUCACUCACCAUUGUGAAUGAAUUUCUCCAUAAAGCCAAGUCUUUAGCAGACUGAAAUGGCUACUGCGACAGAUCAUUUUCAAAGGCAGGAAGAAAACAAAUAUUGUGAGGUGAGCUGUUUCUAAGUGCAAUAGGUAUCUUAUGGAAAAAAAGAAUUUCAGAUAAUUCCUCAUGAUUGAACAAAAAAAAAAAGUAACAAAAGGAAAGAAGGAAGAGAAGGAAAUCUCUUAUUUUCCAAAAUUACAACACUGAUAUCACCAAAAUUAAGAUACAGAAUUUAAUUUUGAAAUUGCUAAUUUAUAAUGGUUGGUUGGUUCAAUUCACCCUUAUAAAAGUUAGAACAUCAGUUGGGAAAGAUUUUGCAAAAAGUCUGUUCAAUAUAAGCUUGAAUGGAUUCUGAGGCAAAAGAGAAAGAUGUAUAACUAUUGAUGAAUUUAUUUAUAUAGGGUACUUGCCAAAGAUUCUGUACUCUGUGUGCUAGAAAGAGUAGCUAGGACAGGUUCUGUUUGCUUAAUUAGUUGGCCUAUAUUAGGCCUGAAAAGAAGCUUAUACUGAAUGAAAUGUAAAUGACAAAAUCUCUUUGUAGAAGAAUGCAGAGGAAGGAAUACAAUAGCUUCAAGAGAUAGGAAUUUAUUAUGUGCAUCCCACGCAUCUACCCUCAGAUACAAUCCUCAGGACCUCCCAAGGGUACUAUUCUCCAAGGCACUUGGGAGAGCACCAGCAUCUUUGAGAAGUGCUGUGGCAGUUAUCCUUUGUAGGCUGGGAUGAAGCUAUUGAAGUGGAUUUUCUAAUUUCACAGUGGAAGAGCCUAAAUAACAGUAUUCCGCUGCCAGGCAAGAUGGCAUGGUUGUAAUGAUGAGCAGCAGAGAAAGAACGAUAAUCAAAAUAUUUUGGUGCACCUAGGUCUUUGUUGACCUCCAAUUUAUCAUGGAGUUUUGGUGCAAAAAUAAAUGGGCACGUCCCUAAACUCCUGCUUGAUUUCUGUAAGUACCUCCUUCAAGUAAAAAACAAAAAAGAAAGAAAGAAAGAAAAGAAAAGAAAGAUAAACUACUUUAGGUCUAGCAAAAAUAUAGGCCUGAAUUGAGCUGCAAAAUAGUCAAUUUUACCACCUACUCAAUUGCCAGACUUGAGUAAGUUUAGUGGUACAGCACUGCUUGACAGAACGCAAAGCCACUUCUGUUUGAGGAAGAUGUUUGAAGCAUCACAAGUCUUUAAAAUAAGAUUUCUUCCUAGACUUCCUUAAAAGAACCUAUGACCACUCACCAAAGUAAUUGUGUAGUGGAAAAGAGAUAUAACUAGAAUUUUUUUGAUUAUUGGACAAUGGACACUGAGUUAUUGCUAAUUUCAGAAGAGUCAUUUUUCCCUUGCUCAGGGAGAGCUAAUGUGAGUAAGGUAACAAAUGAAGUUCAGUCCUACUUAAAAGAUGCAGGAAUUUUGAUCUAUCUUUCCUAAUUCUAGUCACCUGCUUUCCUAUAUGGGAGACAGAUUGGUCUUAAAGAAUGAUAGUAGAUUACUAUAAAAUGAUGCAUUUAACAUCUUAUGUGCUGUAUGACUUGUUAAUGAGACAAAUAAGCAUCACCAUGGCAUUUUGGCACUUGAUAUACAGUUACUGAUUUGGCCAAUUUUAUAUCCAAUAAGUCAAGAACUCUAGAGAGAAUUUAUUUCACUUGGCUGGGCAAAUACUAAGCCUUCAGUAUCUAACUUUAGAUAUAUGUCAUUUCUCUACUGCUGGGCCAUAAUUUCAUCUGCAGACAACUUCAUCAUUUCAGCGUCCCCCAGAAUGUCAAACCAGUCCUUUCCAUUGAUGACACACGUGAGUAGAAUCUGGGGAGCAGGAAACAGCAGGCAUCUAGAUGCUUUCAUAGGCACAUACUGCUGGAGAGUGGGGGAUAAACUCUAAGGAAAUUCAGAGUAUCAAAAGCACAGCAAAUUUUCCAAGAAUAAAAUGAUCUGGAGCACAUGGAAUUUUGUUUUCAAAGUAAAACCACUGCAUUUUUCUCUGUGUAAUCUUAGAAAAGAAAGUUAAUUUGAAUUUUGGAGUCAAGAUAUACGAUAUUUGGCAUAAGUGAAAUCUCAACCUAUUUACUGGAUAAUUAGGCUAUCAGCUUUUAAUUGGGCCUAAACACAAACGAAGACUUUCUAGCUUAUUCAGGCUGCAGUAUAAGCAGUUUUGCCACUUAGCCCUUAUGACCCAACAGAUUUAGUGAUGUUUGACAGGCCUGUUACUGAGUGGGACACUGAAAGGAAGCAGUGAUGAGCCCCAAUAAGAGAAUCUUAGUGCUAGCCCCUAGGUUGUGGAGCAAAACUAUGGUAAGUACUACACUGUUUUGAGAAAUAGCUCUUGCCUCUGUUAGAUACACUAAGGCCAGUCAUAAAACACUGAGAAAUCGUGUGACCUGAGCUUCCCGUUAUAGUCUGUUAUUUAAUCCACAAAACCAUAAUUUUGGGCAAACUUGGAACUGCUAUAGAUGAGGAUGAACUCAAGAAGAUAUUGAAGAUAUUAGAAAGGCUAAUGAACAGGUGGUCACUUUUUCAAUGUGCCAACUCCUGCUGCAUUGCCAUCUCUUCCCCAACCUAUACUUACAGCUUCAGGGAGUUCAUUCCCUCUGUCUACUAACUGAGGAUGAUACACUUGAAACCUAGUUGUAGAUAGCUCUGUAGGAUAUUCUAACACCGAGUAUGAGUGGAAUGGUCUAGAAAUACAAUUCGCUAUUGGCCCUAGACAGUGCAGUAGAGAAAUCCUCCCAGUAGGCAAACCUUGGAGAAGCACAGAUGAUUUUUCCACGUUGAUUGGAAGGACUGAUGAGCAGGGUGUGAUUCUAUUUAAAUUCAGCUAGUUUUUGGGGAGAUGAUCAGGGAUUUGGGAGGAUAUAUUUGGAAGAUUAAUGACAAUGUUUCAGGGAAAAUUGUGUAAAUAGGUCUCAAAUUUGAAAUAUUUGGCCCCCAUGUGAAUGAUCAGCAGAUGACCCUGUCUGCAGAGGAAUCUCUCAGUAAUCAGCUGAUAGAUUCACUUUUUGGUCAGGCAGUCUCUUUCUGCACUCACUCCAGUUCUUAGUCUAGGUGAUCAUGAACAGAUUGCCAUUAUGGCCAGGACAAAGUAUACAGAUGUGCUUAGGAACGUGGAACUUCUCUCCACAAGACUGUCCUUGAUAUUACUAUGUCAGAACAGGGACAUACACAGAACUCCUGAUAUAGCAUGACAAUUUGGAGGGACCAACCAAGAACUUGGGAGAAGAUCAGUUAUGUUGGACCCUUUCAUUUUGAAAGGACAAUGAUUUUUCCUCAUUGGAAUUAACUCUUAUUCUGGAUAUUGAUUUUUCCUUACUUGCUUCUACCAGCAAUAUAAGCAGAAUACAUGGGUCUGGAAACCAAGGGGUGAAAGAGAGAGUAGUAUUUCGUGAUAGCACUAAAAUGACCUACUCCUCAAAUUUUUGCUUCUUAUUCCUGUGGCUUUAUUGAGUGCUGAUUUAGAAGUCUUAGAAGACAAGGGAUCAAUACUUCCAACAAUGGAUGCAUUGUUGCCAUUGAGCAGGUGGUUGAAAAAAAUCAACCAGCCAUUUUUGGCUUUCACACCAUUAGAUGGUUAGACCAACAGGCACACGUCUUGUCUUAGUUAGCAAGUGAUGCUGCCUGAAAGCAAAUGCUCCGUAACCCACCUGAGUUCCCUUGGACAAAUAUCUGGUUGUCACUGAAUACACGGGUGCAGAUGCCUUUUAAAUCCAGAUGAGUUUGAAGAACUAGACUGGACAAGAUAGAUUUUCUUAAUAACCAAAAGUGACCAGGAAAAUAUGGAAUAUGUCUGUGAUGUUGUUAAGAGGCAUGAAAAGAAGAUGUGACAUAGUGUAAUUGGAAGUCAAUAAUUAAAGAAAAACUGUUUUAAUGUUAAUACCCCUCCAAGUUCACACCAUUUGAUGAUCCAGUGACAUUGACCAAAUGGUGAAACAAAAGUAUUAGUGGAAUAAUCAAAAUGAUUUGAGGUACAGAAUAAGAAAAGUUUGAUUUUGCUCGUUGGGUCUAAGGAAGUUUUUAGCAAAGGGUUGAUACCAGAAUUAAGUCUUGAAGGAUGAUGAGGAAAUUCCAGUGAAUAAGAAUACAGACAAGCAUGCCAGUCAGAUGGCACGCCAGAUGCAUUAAAGCUGAUAUUUUGUGGUUUGGCUAAAACACAUGAGACAAAGGAAACAAGAUGGAAAGGGUGAGCAGGGUGAUGGUGAGUUCUCAAAUUCUCUUGGAAACAGCAUGAUCAAGUGCGUAUUUUUGAGAGGUAGCUGUGGUGAUGGAAUGGAGUUUGCCUUUGAUGGGAAGAGACUAGAACAGGGAGAUCAUUUAGGAUGCAGUGAUAGAUUAUGAGAACUUAAAUUGAGAUCAGUUGAAAAAGGUGGAGGAUGGGCGGUUAUACAAGAUUUUCAGUGAAGAAGUGUUAGGACUUGAAGACAGGACUAGAUUGUGUGGAAGGAGGUGUACUGAAGAUGAUAAUGAGGUUUCUACUUUGGAAUGGAUCGAUGGUGAGAAAUCUUUUAUAGGUGCAUACAUUGGACAUGAAUACAGAUAAAUAUUAAGAUGGAAAAUUACUGAUUUUCCCCCUUCAUCCCUUUUCCUGUCUUUUCUUCCUUCCCUCCUCUCUUUUUCACCGUUAUGUCUUGCAUAACUUUUAGCCUUUCUGUUUGCAUUUUACUUUCCACGUGAUCUCAGAACAGGAAUUUCAAGUGUUUUAUAGUUAAAGUUGUUCUCUGUGUUGUUCUAACAUUUCUAAUGCUCGAUUAUUA
Molecule: long non-coding RNA, 5548 nt
Filed under: Equus caballus (horse)
Lineage: Eukaryota; Metazoa; Chordata; Mammalia; Perissodactyla; Equidae
Description: lncRNA (ENSECAG00000058670.1)
Source: RNAcentral